This 492-nucleotide ribosomal RNA is filed under the name uncultured bacterium. RNAcentral describes it as "partial 16S ribosomal RNA". It matches the Rfam family "Bacterial small subunit ribosomal RNA", at positions 29 to 507 of the family's 1533-position model. The record is from RNAcentral.
AUUGAACGCUGGCGGCAUGCUUUACACAUGCAAGUCGAACGGUAACAGGCCUUCGGGUGCUGACGAGUGGCGAACGGGUGAGUAAUGCAUCGGAACGUACCCAGAGGUGGGGGAUAACGCAGCGAAAGCUGUGCUAAUACCGCAUGUGAUCUGAGGAUGAAAGCGGGGGACCGAGCAGCAAUGUUUGGCCUCGCGCCUUUGGGGCGGCCGAUGUCGGAUUAGCUAGUUGGUGGGGUAAAGGCCUACCAAGGCGACGAUCCGUAGCUGGUCUGAGAGGACGACCAGCCACACUGGGACUGAGACACGGCCCAGACUCCUACGGGAGGCAGCAGUGGGGAAUUUUGGACAAUGGGCGCAAGCCUGAUCCAGCAAUGCCGCGUGCGGGAAGAAGGCCUUCGGGUUGUAAACCGCUUUUGGCAGGAACGAAACGGUGUCCGCUAAUACCGGGCGCUAAUGACGGUACCUGCAGAAUAAGCACCGGCUAACUACGUG